Cyprinus carpio carpio is the source of this 1761-nucleotide long non-coding RNA. NCBI's taxonomy places the organism in Eukaryota, Metazoa, Chordata, Actinopteri, Cypriniformes, Cyprinidae. The record is from Ensembl.
GUUUGGAACAGCCUUCGCGUCAUGAGUGUCUAUGAUGCCUAGAAAUGCUUCCUACGUUGUUAUCUCUAGAUUUUGGAACAGAGCCACUCUCUCUUCUCUUCAAUUCAAGGUGCUUCAUUACCAUGAUGUCCUCUCCUAGCCACCCCCUUCUCUCUCUUAUUGACGCUUGCUGUUUAAUGGCUCAGAGUGGGCAGUGCAUUUUAAGCUCUGAUUAAUGGAGCAGUGAUGAUAGGCUAACACCUAGAUGUAGCAGGUAUGGCUUCCAGUGCUGAAUCAGUUUAUGCUGUUCUGUUGGGAGUCUCUGUAAUAGCAGCGGUUGUGAUUGUACUGCUAAUUAUGUUAGUGGUUCUCCGCUUCAUGGCACAUCAGAAAGGCACAUAUUACACCCACGAGGAGAGCUUGGCAUUUAAGAGCGACCCUGAGGUGCAGGAGGUCACCGAAGAUCCGGAAGAUCCAGAAGAAGAGGAGCCUUAGUAUCUUCUGGCAGGAAGCCUUUUGGGAAGUUUCCUGUGUGAAAUGUAUCACUGCGAGCGACAGAAGGAUCUGUCGUGGUUCCUCUUCCUUUUUAUUCUCCAAUCACAUAUGCCUUUUCCAACAGAUGUCCUUUUUUUGACAACUUCACACUCAACCAGUCCAAAACUAAAAUAGAUUUUCAUGUGGAGAAACACUUAUUAUGUGUGCUAAUUAUUUCACAUUGUUUGUUACAGAGUACUUAAAUUAUGUUAAAAUGUGAGUUUUUUAUACUGUAAACUUUUAGCUUCAUUAAUUAACAUAUUAAUGUCUCUAUGUAGAAUCUUUUAUAUCAAUAUACUAUUAAGUUAAUUGCAAAUAUUAAGUGUUUUUUUUUAUAUAAAUUAUUUAAUUUAUGCCAACUUUAUUUACUGGUUGACAUGUACCUGUAUCUCUUUGUAGAAUCUCCAAUGCAAAGAUUAAAACAUGAAUCAAACACUUCCACGUGACUCAUUAUCCAGGCGGUUGUCAAAAGUUACUCUGAAAGUUGUCAUCAUGUAUUCCAACUGUUUUGAAACAUCUGUAGUAAUUCAAAAAAAAUGCACAGGUGAAAGAAGAGUGAAAGAGCCUUUGGUAACUGUCCAUAUUUCGCUCAAGAAAAUUCUGUCAUUUUUUUUUUACUCACCCUCAUGUCAUUCAAAACCCUCUUUUUUUCUGUGGAACACAACAUUAGACGUUAAACAGAAUGUUCAUUCUUCUUGGUUCCAUAUAGCAUAUAUAAAGUUCUAAAAAUGGAGUAAUGGUUGAUUAAAAUUCAGCUUUGUAUCACAGGAAUACAUUACAUUUUAAAAUAUAUUCCAAUACAAAACAGUCAUUUUAAAUUUUACUAAUAUUUCACAAAAUUACGGAUUUUAGUGUAUUUUUAAUUAAAUAAAUAAAGCCUUGGUGAGCAUAAGACAUGAGACUUUUAAAAAUCUUAUCAACCUCAAUCGUUUGAACAGUGGUGUUUUUGCUGUUGUUGUUUUUUUCAUCAUAUGAACCCAAGAACAACUUUUGCAUUAUCUUUGUGGUUUGUUUGUUUAUCUAUUUAAGCUUUAUUUUAAGCCACAGUAUGUUUUGCUUUAGUUAUGAAUAAAAUGAGUGAUACAGCAAAUGGUAGAAAGACAUUUAAAUGAAUCCAUGAAAAAUGUGCAUGUGAAUGAAUACAAGUAGAUACAUAUUAACAUUCUUGUAAUAUUUAUUGUAGAAAUCCUUGACUAACCAUGCCGCUGAUGUCAGUGUGGUUCAAAUAAAGCUAAAAAUGCUUUAAGC